AUGUUUUUACAUAUACAGGGUCCAUGUGGGGAUAUUGGUCUUCCUGGUCUAUGUGGCAUCCAAGGGCCAAAGGGCUGCUCAGGUGACCCCGGACCUAAAGGAAACCCAGAGUGCUAUUACAACCAUGUGAUAGGACCACCUGGAGAUCGUGGGCUUCCUUGUGCAGCGGGACUUCCUGGGGAUAGAGGGAUGCCGGGUAUACCUGGACCCCCUGGUGAUUCAGGAGCAUGUAUAACAGGUCCAGAGGGUGAAUGUGGUCUGCCAGGUCUUAAUGGACUCAAAGGAGAAAAAGGUGACCCAGGAAACCUAUGCGGGUCACUCUUAAAUGGUAAUAUUUCAGAUUAUUUGUUUGCUUGCCAAAAUAUUUAAUUUUAAUAGACAUUCUAAUGAUUUUAAAGACGUAUUAUAUUAUUUGUGUGACUGACAUGUUAAGGCCAGUAAUAAAAAAAAAUAUAUAUUAUUAUUUUUUUCUUGUUUUGAACUGACAGUACUUUUUUAUUACAGUUUUUUGGAUUUAAUCAUCUGAAAAAUUACAUCAUUUUUGGGAUUUGAGGGACACUAAAGCUGUAGGUCUUUGUGGAUUUAUUAAUAAUCGUAUUUAAAGUUUCAGUAGUUUUGUCCAAAAUAGGAUAAGUAGGCAUGUUAGGGGUAGGAAUUACCAGAGGCCCCACAAUACAAUAUUAUUGUGAUUUUAAAUAUAUUGGGAUAUUCUGCAAUAUAUUUUGUCAUUCUGCAUUUGUUUCAGGAUUCUUUGAUUAAUAAAAAGUUCAAAAGAACAGUAUUUAUUUGAAAUAUAAAUCUUUUUUAACAUUAUAAAUGUUUUUUGUUGUUGUUGCAUUUAAUCAAUCCAUUCUUUAAUAAAUAAAUUAAUAAAAAACUUUUUUACUGUAGUGUACUAUUUUCUAAUUCUUUCAAUUUAAAUGUAAAAACAAAAAAGAUAGAAGAAGAUAUUUUUUUAUGGUUUUGUAAUAUAAUUUAUUAACAUACAAUCUCUUUUCCUCUAGGGGAACCUGGAAAACCGGGCUGCCCUGGACCCAAAGGACAAUGUGGAAAUCCUGGGAAUUCUGGUGAGUAGAUGUGGAUUUUUCCCCCCUUCAAAUUGUUACAUUUUCUAUUUUCUGUCUGAAUCAGCCCUGACGAAUUGUCAAAUUGAAACUAUCUGUACAAACCUGUAUAAAAUGCACGCAUGUUCCAAUAAUGCUUUUGUUAACUUUUUUAAUUGCCUUUCAUUGAGAUGUCUUUUGAAAUAUUUUGCCCUUUUUAUUUAAUUUGUUCUUAAUAUAAAUAAAACACUAACCUAUGUCUCAAUUUGUUGACAUUAUUGAUAAUGUACAUAAGUGUGCAUCAACACUGAAGUUAUUGUAUGCCCUUCAAAAACAUUUCAUCCUUAUUUUUUGUUUGCCUGUUUGCAUGUUGUCUUUUGUGUGUAUGUCCAUCCUGUUACGGUGUGAUCAUUUGUCUCGUCGUGUCUUUCGAGUGAACAGUUUGUGGUGAGCACAAUUUUUAGACUGUCACAUGCUACAUAAAUUAAACAUGUAACAUCAUACCUUAAAUAUGUAAGACAUGCAACUUUGAGAGUAACACUAUCAUUCUUAAGAAAUACAACUAAUACACUGUGAUGAGAGUUUGGGUCUGUGAUACAGGUUACUACUGCCUGACUGGUGAACGUGGAGAAACUGGACAGGGUGGAUAUAGAGGACCUCCUGGAUUAAAAGGUGUUCAGGGAAGAAAAGGUGAGUUUUUAUAAUAAGAAUACUUAAAAAAAAUGCAUUAUGGUUUCCACACUAAUAUUAAUCAAUUGUUUUAAAAGUUUGAUGAUAAUAAUAAUAAUAAAUAUUUCUUGAGCAGCAAAUCAGCAUAUUAGAAUGAUUUCUGAAGGAUCAUGUGACACUGAAUUUAGCUUUGCAUCACAGGAAUGAAUUACAUUUUAAAAUCUAUCAAAAUUAAAAAACUAAACAAAAAAUAUUAUUUUAAAUUGUAAUGAUACUUCACAAUACUGAAAUAAAUGCAGCAUAAGAGACAUAUUACAAACACAUGAAAAAAAAAAAUCUUACCCUAAACAUUUUUAAACAAUAAAGUUUUGAUAUAUUUAUGGUAGGAAAUUUACAAAAUAUCUUAAUGGAACAUGAUAUUUACUUAGUAUCCUAAUGAUUUUUGGCAUUUAAAAAAAUCUAUAUCUAUAAUUUUCACCAUACAAUGUUUUUUUUGGCUAUUGCCAAAAUAUAUACAGUAUAUAUUUUGUUUUAUUUUGUCAAACGUUACUAUAAAGGUUUUGCUUAAAAUAUUAGAUUUUUUUUUAUAUUUUGUUAUGUAAUGUCAUAUUGAUCCUAAUUGUCCAAACUUUUUUCUACUUUUUGGUGCCACUUUUGUAGUGUACAUAAUGUACUAUACUGUGUAUUACUGUCUAUACUUUAUCUCAUGAAUUUUUUAAACAUGUAUCUCAUUUGUAGAUGAAAGCAUUAUCAAGUUAGCCAAAAUCUUUUAAUGAUUGAACAGAGGAAGGUCUUAUAUUGUGCUGUCCAUGGUGCUGAAUAUUUUUCAUUUUUUUGUCCCAACUAUAACGUUGUGUGUAGUGUAUAUUAGUGUCCAUUAGGAGACAGCAAAGGGUGCAUCUUUUCUAACCCAAGUAUAAGCACAUGCACUUAUGUUCUUUGUGUUUCCUGUCAGGUCCUGAUGGGGGAUGUGCAUGUGACCCACUUGGUGAUUUACCAGGAGAUCCGGGCCCUCCAGGCCCUCCUGGUGUCCCUGGUUGUCCUGGGAAAACAGGCUGUCAGGGUCCUCCUGGCGAUGUUGGACCCACUGGAAAGAUGGGUUUGAGAGGUGUAACUGUACGUAAACGUGGUUGAAAUAAAUGUAGAAUUCUUUUUUUUUUUUUUUGUAUGGUACUUGUGUAUGUGUGUGUACUUAUUUUUGUUUGUGUCUGUUGUUGUUUCUCAGGGUCCCAGAGGCUUCAUAGGUGUCAGAGGGGCUAAAGGAGAGAAAGGAGAUGUGAUGAUGAUGUGCAGAAAGGGUGAAACAUAUUUGCCCUUAAUAGAUUAUUUUAAUUUCGUUUUUAAGACUCACAAUGGUCUAACAUCUAAGUAUAAGUUUGAUACUAUAACACAGAAUUAACUGUUAUGGUAAAUGCCUGCUAAUUCAACUAUAAUGCAGUUUCUUUAUCCCCAAGCAUUGUCAGAAUUUGUAUAUUUCUUCUCUUUUUCUUAAGUUAUCUAUCAAAUCUCUCAUCUUUAUUUUACGUACAAACUGAUAUGCAGUUAUAAGAACUUAAGACAUUUUUGCAUUAUGUUAAAGGGGAUAAAGGUGAUGCAGGAUCUGUUGGAUCAUGUGGAAAACCAGGAUGUAGUGGGAGGGAAGGAGCUGAUGGGAAGAUUGGUGCCCCUGGAGAUCCUGGACCUAUGGUAAGACAUUUAAACAAUUAUGAAAUUAUAUAUAUAUAUAUAUAUAUAUAUAUAUAUAUAUAUAUAUAUAUAUAUAUAUAUAUAUAUAUAUAUAUUAUAUAGAAGCUGUGGGUAAAAUUUAGUGGCUGACCUAAGUAUCAGUCAACAUUGAAAAUUUUAAAUUAAUGAAUAAAUAAAUCCUGUAAUACUCAAUGACAUGUUAUUGGACAGGUCAUUGUUGAACCUUCCCUUUAGGAUGGUUUAAGAUGAUUUAUAUUAACAAUAAUUUGCUGUCAUUAAUUAGUUUCUUUAAAAAAAACUAAAAUCCUUCCCAGGGAGAUUGUAUUGUUGGUCCACCGGGUGACAGGGGGUGUCCAGGGGCUGCUGGUGUGAGGGGUGUAAGAGGUCCAGCUGGUCUUCCUGGCCCGAAUAUGAUGGGGUCAGUUGGGCGACGGGGGCAACAAGGGUGCCAAGGACCUCAAGGCCAGACGGGACCUCCUGGUCCUAAAGGCGUUCAAGGUAAGAGUCACAAAGCUGAGUAAGGUUUAUACUUUAUGAUAAAUUGAUAUCCAGCCACUAUUUCAGCUCUGUACAGUUAUACAAUAUGUUGAAAACCAGCGUCAGUAUGAAGGAUGUUGAAAUCUGUUAAUGAUGAGUAAUGCACACUACCAUUCAAAAGUCGGCAAUAAUUUCUUUAAAAAUAAAAUAAAACUAAGCACAUCUCAAAUUGUUUUGUUUGGUAGGUGAUACACUGCCCUGUGGACCUGGCAUACGUGGAGCCCCUGGUUGCAAAGGGAUGGCUGGUUGUAAAGGUAAAUAUAUAUUGAAAUAUUUUUUGUAUGAAAGCGUGAGACCUCUCUCAGAUUGGUUGAAAAAAAGACACAACUGAAAGAAUAAGAGUAGAGUACCUUAGAAGUGUACAUUUACCUCAAAGUCUUUUACAAAUUGUAUUAUAUUUUACAUACUUUUGCUCAUUGCGUGCCAAUUUUAAUUCUAGAUCUAGUUUGAUUAAUUAUAGAUUGCACUUUUGUGGUUAUAACUUGGUAAACUAUAUAAUCAGUAGAUUAAAAUGUGGAUAUUUUAUUGAUGGUAAUAAAAUUAAUUGAAAACGAUG
Molecule: long non-coding RNA, 4491 nt
Organism: Carassius auratus (goldfish)
Lineage: Eukaryota; Metazoa; Chordata; Actinopteri; Cypriniformes; Cyprinidae
Source: Ensembl